This 1246-nucleotide long non-coding RNA is filed under the name Callithrix jacchus (white-tufted-ear marmoset). RNAcentral's name for it is "lncRNA (ENSCJAG00000049087.3)". The record is from RNAcentral. Lineage: Eukaryota; Metazoa; Chordata; Mammalia; Primates; Cebidae.
CCCCUAUGUAGCCUCCAAGUCUACAAACCACAGCUGCAGUCAGUCUCAUCUCAUCUCCAGACAGUCAAGGUAUGGAAAUUGGCCAUCGGUAUCAGAGCUGAGCUGGCUGCUUUUGUGAGUCUGGUCUUAUUUUUGAUUUCAAGAAUGUAUGUCUCUCAUUCUCUUGACAGCAGAGGAUAGGCUGUCUUCGUACCCCACAGAAUACCUACUACAGGGCCUGCUGCAUAGAAGAUCUUCAAUAAAUAUGUGUUUCUGCUGUCUAUAAAGUUAAUGAACCACAACAUAAGGAAGAAAAGAAGUGGACUAUACUGGUUGGUGCAGCCUUCCCCAAGCACUCACCCACACACUGCCUUCACUGCUCCGACCAGUCACUGCACAGAGCUCUUCUUGGUGGAUGAGAUGCAACUUACGUAAUGAGAAUGGAGGCGUUUCAGGCAAUGUGACAGAGACAUGUGCAGAUGAAGAAGGAUUUUCAGCCCCUCUGCGGGAAACUGGAAUUGGCAAAUGGUUACUCAGUAAGUGAAGAGAACUGACUUCAUCAUCCUCAGCAAAGUUUCCAGUGCUACAAGAAUUCAAGCCUUACAGCUCUGCUCCUACAAUUGUCAGAGGCCUCUUGGGGAUGGCAAGUACAAAGGAGACUGAAGAAAGACAUAUUCCAGUCACCCCCAAGUUCAUUUCCACUUCAGGCUGAGAGCCUGCUGGCCAAGGGGAAGCUCUGUCUCUUUCAAUUUGGUUUGAAUUGAGACCAUCCAUCCUGGCCUUCUGCUUAGCUGCCCCGAAAGGCAGGCAGUUGAUGAAUGGAGCGUACUACAAAAGAAAGCCGGCGGGCACACAUGGGUCUGGUGACGCUUCUGUCAGGGCGGCUCAAAGGGAAGGCUGCACCACAUGGAUAUCUUUCUGGUUCAGAAAGGGUUAAAUCACUGGUUUUGGCCUUAAUCCAACUCAGAACCUCAACAAAAUGAGAACGUGCGUACAAAGAAAGCGGUGGAUAUGUGCCGGAUGCAUUAGAUCGCAGGCCUAAAGAACAUCUGCCUCCUCUUCCUACCACCUUCCCCACUGUCCUGCGGUGGUGAGAACCCAUGGAGUGGAGCCUCUAGCCCUUUGGUGUGGAGACAAAGACAGUGAAUGAAAUUCCAGGGACUUGAGUUCUGCUUCCAGUUCUGCUGCCAUUGCAAGAAGUCAGGUAGGCAAUUCCAUUUUCUGAGUCUCAGUUUCCUUGUUUCUUAAACAAGGGGCUUGGAGGACA